Molecule: long non-coding RNA, 459 nt
Organism: Bubalus bubalis (water buffalo)
Lineage: Eukaryota; Metazoa; Chordata; Mammalia; Artiodactyla; Bovidae
Exons: 2
Source: RefSeq, a predicted model, not a curated record
CUCUCCCUGAGCUGAGCAGAGGGGGCGGUGUCGGAGGCGUCUCAGCCAACCAGGGCCGCAAGCCAGAAUCUCCAUGGUAACCGCCGAAGCCCACUCACUUCGGCGAUGCUCCCAGUGGAGGCAGAAGCUUGCAUCCGAGCAGAUACUUCAAAAGCCAUCCAGAGGUCGACUGAGUUUGUUUUUAAUCUGCCAAGAGCUCAGGCGGCCUGGAAUGCUGAGUGAAGAAUAUGUGGCGCGGAAGAGAUCCACGAAGUACUUCAGCCCCUGAAAACAAUCAAGUCCCAGUGUCAGGGCCUUUGCAGCAGUAACAGUGGGGAGUCCUGUCCUGCUGUUUAUUUUCUCAUUUUCUCUCUUUGGCCAAAGAGCAUGAUAGAUCCCUAUUGUAACUGCGAAUGUUUGUUUUCUGAUUACAAAUGUGACAGCAUGUUCAUUGUGCAAAUUUUGAAAAAUGCAGAAAAA